Molecule: ribosomal RNA, 470 nt
Filed under: Sinorhizobium sp. AS012
Lineage: Bacteria; Pseudomonadati; Pseudomonadota; Alphaproteobacteria; Hyphomicrobiales; Rhizobiaceae
Description: bacterial SSU rRNA
Rfam family: Bacterial small subunit ribosomal RNA
Source: RNAcentral
GGGCAGGGGGACUGUGGUUUAUUCAACACGCGCAGAACCUUACCAGCCCUUGACAUCCCGGUCGCGGACAGGAGAGAUCCUGUCCUUCAGUUCGGCUGGACCGGUGACAGGUGCUGCAUGGCUGUCGUCAGCUCGUGUCGUGAGAUGUUGGGUUAAGUCCCGCAACGAGCGCAACCCUCGCCCUUAGUUGCCAGCAUUUGGUUGGGCACUCUAAGGGGACUGCCGGUGAUAAGCCGAGAGGAAGGUGGGGAUGACGUCAAGUCCUCAUGGCCCUUACGGGCUGGGCUACACACGUGCUACAAUGGUGGUGACAGUGGGCAGCGAGACCGCGAGGUCGAGCUAAUCUCCAAAAACCAUCUCAGUUCGGAUUGCACUCUGCAACUCGGGUGCAUGAAGUUGGAAUCGCUAGUAAUCGUGGAUCAGCAUGCCACGGUGAAUACGUUCCCGGGCCUUGUACACACCGCCCGUAA